UACGUAGGGUGCAAGCGUUAAUCGGAAUUACUGGGCGUAAAGCGUGCGCAGGCGGCUAUGCAAGACAGAUGUGAAAUCCCCGGGCUCAACCUGGGAACUGCAUUUGUGACUGCAUAGCUAGAGUACGGUAGAGGGGGAUGGAAUUCCGCGUGUAGCAGUGAAAUGCGUAGAUAUCAGGAGGAACACCGGUGGCGAAGGCGGGAUCCUGGGCCAGUACUGACGCUGAGGAGCGAAAGCGUGGGGAGCAAACAGG
RNAcentral lists this ribosomal RNA (253 nucleotides) under uncultured bacterium. Its description in RNAcentral is "partial 16S ribosomal RNA". It matches the Rfam family "Bacterial small subunit ribosomal RNA", at positions 524 to 776 of the family's 1533-position model. The record is from RNAcentral.